GUGCUUGCUUCGGCAGCACAUAUAUGAAAAUUGGAACAACACAGAGAAGAUUGGCAUGCCCCCUGCACAAGAAUGACACACAAGUUAGUGAAGAUUUUCAUAUAAUU
This 107-nucleotide small nuclear RNA is filed under the name Procavia capensis (Cape rock hyrax). Lineage: Eukaryota; Metazoa; Chordata; Mammalia; Hyracoidea; Procaviidae. The record is from RNAcentral.